Molecule: long non-coding RNA, 392 nt
Filed under: Heterocephalus glaber (naked mole-rat)
Lineage: Eukaryota; Metazoa; Chordata; Mammalia; Rodentia; Bathyergidae
Description: lncRNA (ENSHGLG00000043199.1)
Source: RNAcentral
CCGCCGCCCUCCGGGGGCCGCAGCGCGAUCUCCAUGGCCCGGGGGCGGGGGGCAUGCUGGGCCCUGCCGGGCUCGCCGCUCCCGUCCGCUGCUCUCCGCCGGUCUGGUCGGGCGGGCAGGGCUGCUGGCUCCCGGGUCCUGACGUCAGGCUGCCACCGCCUCGCCUCAGACUCUGGGCUCUGGCAGCCGUUACCAAGCAGCCAAAAGCCUCCUUCCCGCAGACGCCACCCGCGGCCUCCGCCCACCGCGCCGUCUCCGCCCCGCGCCCCCUCCGGCCGGGCUGUAGUCCCGCAGGAGGGCAGGAGGGCAGGAGGGAGCCGCGCGCCGAGCCAGGAACAGGUUAAAUAUCAUCGCACAGUCUUCGACUGCACAAUGAUACCAACUUGUGGAGA